GCUGACACAUCCCUGCCAAUCUCUGGCAGACCCUCCCUCCCAGACCCUUCCACCUCCUGGACAGCAUCCAUGUUGAAGCUGCCUUCAACAUGGAUGCUGUCCAGGAAGUAGGAGGGUCUGGGAGGGAGGGUCUGCCGGAGAUUGUCAGGGAUGUGUCAG
Pelobates cultripes (western spadefoot toad) is the source of this 159-nucleotide non-coding RNA. The record is from the annotation of a GenBank genome assembly. NCBI's taxonomy places the organism in Eukaryota, Metazoa, Chordata, Amphibia, Anura, Pelobatidae.